This 305-nucleotide ribosomal RNA is filed under the name uncultured bacterium. RNAcentral describes it as "bacterial SSU rRNA". It matches the Rfam family "Bacterial small subunit ribosomal RNA", at positions 333 to 654 of the family's 1533-position model. The record is from RNAcentral.
UUCUCCCUACGGGGCGCAGCAGUGGGGGAUAUUGCACAAUGGGGGAAACCCUGAUGCAGCGACGCCGCGUGAGUGAAGAAGUAUUUCGGUACGUAAAGCUCUAUCAGCAGGGAAGAAAAAUGACGGUACCUGACUAAGAAGCCCCGGCUAACUACGUGCCAGCAGCCGCGGUAAUACGUAGGGGGCAAGCGUUAUCCGGAUUUACUGGGUGUAAAGGGAGCGUAGACGGCAGGGCAAGUCUGGAGUGAAAGCCCGGGGCCCAACCCCGGGACUGCUUUGGAAACUGCCAUGCUGGAGUGCUGGAG